This 74-nucleotide transfer RNA is filed under the name Ignavibacteria bacterium. Its description in RNAcentral is "tRNA-Glu". It matches the Rfam family "tRNA". From Rfam's summary of the family: Transfer RNA (tRNA) molecules are approximately 80 nucleotides in length. Their secondary structure includes four short double-helical elements and three loops (D, anti-codon, and T loops). The record is from RNAcentral. Lineage: Bacteria; Pseudomonadati; Ignavibacteriota; Ignavibacteria.
GGCCCGUUAGUGUAACUGGUUAACACGUUGCCCUUUCACGGCAAAGAGUACGGGUUCGAGUCCCGUACGGGUCA